This is a non-coding RNA of Neoarius graeffei (lesser salmon catfish), 609 nucleotides long. The record is from the annotation of a RefSeq genome assembly. NCBI's taxonomy places the organism in Eukaryota, Metazoa, Chordata, Actinopteri, Siluriformes, Ariidae.
GCUACCAUGACUUUGAUCCCCGUCUUCAUCUGGACACUGAUCCUCUGGACUCAAGAAUGCAGAGGUCAAGCCACAGUAACUCAGACUCCUGCAGUGAAAUCUGCUCUUCCAGGAGAAACAGUCACCAUCAACUGUAGAACCAGUCAGGCAGUGUACACAGACUCAUCUGGUGACCGGUUAUUCUGGUAUCAGCAGAAACCUGGAGAAGCUCCUAAACUCCUGAUUAAAUUUGUAAAUCAGCUACAGUCAGGUUUUCCAGCUCGUUUCAGUGGCAGUGGAUCUGGAUCUGAUUUCACUCUGACCAUCAGUGGAGUCCAGACUGAAGAUGCAGGAGAUUAUUACUGUCAGAGUUACCAUUACAUCUCUGGUUACUGGUUCACACAGUGUUAUAGAGUCUUUAGAAAAGAACUGAGCCGUGAGAAGAAGAGGAAGAGGUUCCAGGAUGAGACCUCAGAGGAAGCAGGUCAGGAAGACAGUGCAGAAACAACAUUUCGAAAUACUGUAUUUUUCACUGCCCUGGAGCAGAUAAUAAGUGACUUGGACACUCGGUUCCAAACCAUAGCAAAUAUUGUUGAAGAAUUUGCAGCUACACAUAAUCAGCACACAUAA